Molecule: ribosomal RNA, 2289 nt
Filed under: Triticum aestivum (bread wheat)
Lineage: Eukaryota; Viridiplantae; Streptophyta; Magnoliopsida; Poales; Poaceae
Description: partial small subunit ribosomal RNA
Source: RNAcentral
CACACACACACACACACACACACACACACACACACACACACAAACACACAUACACACACUGUUGUUUAGUUUCAGACUUGUGCCUGUGUGAAAAUUAGUUGAAUCUAUUCCCUAUAUACUGUGGUUGCUGUAGAAACCUGUUCAGUUUGUAGUAUCUUUGAUUUAUAUAUAGUGUUGUUGUGUUAAAUAGUUUUCUCCAUGUCCCAUUAUCUUAGUCUUGUCUUUUUCUUAUAUGUUAUAUAUAUGUGAUCUUACCCUGUUAUUUCCCUUUCGCUGUUGUUGAUCUUCUGUGUUAGAAUCUUAUAUUCUCAAGAAUUGUGAAAAUAUCAAAAAGACAGUGAACAAUAUCUUAACCUUUCCUAUACUUGUUUGUUUCUUCAUUCUCUAUAAUCUUCGGGAACAACUUUGUUUAGUUUAGGUUUAUAUUUCCUUGCAAUCAUCAUCUAAAUUCUGUCACCUAGCUUUAGCCGAGCGUAGUUGUCGUCGCCUAGUCCCUGUGGAGAACACGACAUCCGUAGUUUGGGCGUAAAACCCCCACUAUAAUACAAUUGAUCAUUUUGGCGACGUUGCCGGGGAACUAGCGUCGUGCGGCCGUGUUAGGCUAUAGACUAGGUUUUUCUUGUUUUCAUUUUGUGACAUAUAUUUGUGAUAUAUCUCUAGCCACUAACCCCUGUUCUAGUUAGUAUCUUUUUGUCUUCUUUUCCUUUUUUGCAGGUUGGAUUAUCCUCUUGGAAAUGGCAUUCUAUUCAGAUCAUCAGGCUUAUGCGAGGAACACUACAAACAGCACGGAAAGUAUUCAAGAAUUGAUAACUCGAUCUAGGAGGUGCUGGCUCAUGCUGGCUGGAACUAGGAUGCAACAGGGUUGAUGGAUCCAUGCCGCACAAGCACCUGUGCUCUGCUUUCUUCUUACUUUGUGUUCUAAUUUGCUUUCUUCUUAUUUUAAGUUUGCGAGAUGCAAAAAGAAGUUAAAAAAAUGUUGUGCCUGGAGUGAAUAUUAUUUGCUACCCCAUGAUGUACGUCUAUAGUUUCUCCCUCCAAAUGUGUUGGUCCAUGUGGUUGUAUUUUCUGUUUUUUUGUUUUGGAUCUACGAAAAAGGUUAUUGAAGCUCAAAUGUGAUAAGCACAUAAGUUCAGAUCUCUAAUGCUACAAAGUUCACGUAUACCUCUCUGUUUUAAUCAUGGCCUACAAAUUUUGCACUACGAGAAAGUUCAGAGGCAAGAACGUAGAAAAUAAAGAACACAAAAAUAUCAACAAAAAAUUCACUAGGAGAAAAGUUUAAGUCAGGAUAUGCAAGAAAAGCUCUUAUUUUAUUUCAGUUCAAUUUCAAAUUCUAGUUAAGUUUCAUUUCUUAUUUUAAUUUAGUCUAGUUUCUUAUUUUAGUUUAGUUCAAUAUCUAAUUUUUGUUCAGUUCAAUUCUUAUUUUAGAAAGAAAUUGAAUUGUUUCUUUGUCUACAUUCUUCUAUUCAACAUCAGGGAGAAGGUGCCUCAUGGUAAAAGCGUGCCAAGAUUUUCUAGAAUAAAAAUAAGAUGUAUGCAUUGCUUCUUGGCCCAGCUUGAGAGAACCCUCAUGUUAAAAAGUAUAAAGCAGUUUUGAAGCAACUCCUAGUGUCUUUAGAAGCAUUCAUGGUUAAAAAGCAACGACAACCUCAUCCAUUCAAGUUGAGCACUGGUCAUCGUCCAAGUUGAGCACUAGGUGCCGGCCAAGUUAAAAAAGAGUAGUAUGCAAGUAUAGAAGUUUGUUUUAGUGAGAAAAAUGCAUACUGUCUUCUAUAACUCGUUUCACUUCACGAUUUCUUCACUAGUUUGUUGUUUCCUAAUUAUCCUAAUUCCUAAUUGUUCUACUCAACUUUAGCGCCAUGCUCAGUACAACACCGUGGCUUCAGGGUGGCCGAGUUCGUCGCGACCAUCAGUUAAGAGACCUGCAUCACUGCGCGUGUCGCUACCAUGGCCCCCUUGUGUCACUGCGUGCUUCGUCAACAAGCCUCCUGCACAUGGAAAAGCAACAGGAGUCUGAGAUGCUCUGUUCUAGUGAGGUGGCUGAUUAUGUUAGUUUGUAAUACUUUGGCCGCGGUGUACUUAUGUAUCUUUUUCUGGCCGGAGCACGACCAGAGCUUAUGUCAGUACGAACUUUGAUUGUGAUGGUAAUACAAACUCUAUAGGGUACUUACCUUUUAUACAAUUCACAUGGAUUGUGCCCCUAUUACCAUGUGGUACAAAAAUGCACUAUGCUCACCAUUUUAUUUUAGUUCAUCAGUUUGUAAUACUUUAAAAAGAGGAGGUAAAAGUGAA